This 428-nucleotide ribosomal RNA is filed under the name Chloroflexota bacterium. RNAcentral's name for it is "Chloroflexi bacterium partial 16S ribosomal RNA". It matches the Rfam family "Bacterial small subunit ribosomal RNA", at positions 355 to 775 of the family's 1533-position model. Lineage: Bacteria; Bacillati; Chloroflexota. The record is from RNAcentral.
UAGGGAAUCUUCGGCAAUGGACGAAAGUCUGACCGAGCAACGCCGCGUGAGUGAAGAAGGUUUUCGGAUCGUAAAACUCUGUUGUUAGAGAAGAACAAGGACGUUAGUAACUGAACGUCCCCUGACGGUAUCUAACCAGAAAGCCACGGCUAACUACGUGCCAGCAGCCGCGGUAAUACGUAGGUGGCAAGCGUUGUCCGGAUUUAUUGGGCGUAAAGCGAGCGCAGGCGGUUUCUUAAGUCUGAUGUGAAAGCCCCCGGCUCAACCGGGGAGGGUCAUUGGAAACUGGGAGACUUGAGUGCAGAAGAGGGGAGUGGAAUUCCAUGUGUAGCGGUGAAAUGCGUAGAUAUAUGGAGGAACACCAGUGGCGAAGGCGGCUCUCUGGUCUGUAACUGACGCUGAGGCUCGAAAGCGGGGGGAGCAAACAG